RNAcentral lists this ribosomal RNA (253 nucleotides) under uncultured bacterium. RNAcentral's name for it is "partial 16S ribosomal RNA". It matches the Rfam family "Bacterial small subunit ribosomal RNA", at positions 524 to 776 of the family's 1533-position model. The record is from RNAcentral.
UACGUAGGGUGCAGGCGUUAAUCGGAAUUACUGGGCGUAAAGCGUGCGCAGGCGGUUUGCUAAGACAGGUGUGAAAUCCCCGGGCUUAACCUGGGAAUGGCGUUUGGGACUGGGAGUCUGGAGUACGGCAGAGGAGACUGGAAUUCCUGGUGUAGCAGUGAAAUGCGUAGAUAUCAGGAGGAACACCGAUGGCGAAGGCAGGUCUCUGGGCUGAUACUGACGCUCAUGCACGAAAGCGUGGGGAGCAAACAGG